ACAAAUACAUAAAAUAUAUAAACACGGAGGAAGGAUUAGUUGUCGUGAGAGAAUGUUGAACCCAUCCGUUUCUUGUGUGUACAUUCACAUCUCUUCCAUCCUUCAUCUCCACUGAUUUCCUUUACACUGGGAAACUACGAUAGUGCACACUGCUGUAUGUACAUAUGGGCAGAGGAGGAAAGGAUUUAAUAUUUGUGAUGGGUGGAAAAAGUGAAAAAAAGUUGCGAGGAAACAAAUUGUGUAUGGUCCAAAAGAAACGUUUCAUAUCUCUCCAUUUUCCGUGUAUCCUUUCUUCAGCAAAGUGAAGGAGUGAGUGAAACUACGCAAUAAGUCUGCAAAACGAAGAUGAUGUUCCUCUGCCGCAGGACUAUUAGUCCCAUGCACUACUAGAAAGGAGCAAGAAGUCGCUCAUUCGGAACAGGGAGAGUGUGUAGUCGCAGGAGAAAGUUUUUUUUCUUCCUCUUCAUGAACAAUAAGUGGGGCAAAAGACAGGUCCUAUACGGAUGCAACAUUAUAGUCGUUUGGUUUCCCGGCUGUAAAGCGAAUUGCUGUGAAAUAAAUCUUACCGGUCUUCUCUCCAACAGCAGUAUAAUUGGAUUUAGCUUCGCCUUAGGUCUAAAAUGCGCUCUCAGAGUCGUAAGCUGUUCGGUUGGGACAAUGUUCACAAGCCUACGGACAUACCAAAGGAAAUAUUAACAAUGUGAUCGUGUGAAGUGUAACACUCCGAUUUUGUUGAAAUUUUGGAAUUACGAAGUUCAAGUCAGUACAACCAACGUUUGUUAAGGCAGUUUGUGCGAUGGUUGGAAUUUGUCAACAUAUUUUAGAUCAAAGUAGUAAAAAUUGGCGAUUUUUAUCUGGCGGAGAAAGCAAACUUCAAUUCCACUCUA
Long non-coding RNA from Folsomia candida, 887 nucleotides. RefSeq lists it as uncharacterized. Lineage: Eukaryota; Metazoa; Arthropoda; Collembola; Entomobryomorpha; Isotomidae. The transcript has 3 exons. The record is from RefSeq and is a predicted model, not a curated record.